UGGAAGCGUCUGGAAAGGCGCGCGAUACAGGGUGACAGCCCCGUACACAAAAGCGCAUAUGCUGUGAGCUCGAUGAGUAGGGCGGGACACGUGGUAUCCUGUCUGAAUAUGGGGGGACCAUCCUCCAAGGCUAAAUACUCCUGACUGACCGAUAGUGAACCAGUACCGUGAGGGAAAGGCGAAAAGAACCCCGGCGAGGGGAGUGAAAAAGAACCUGAAACCGUGUACGUACAAGCAGUGGGAGCCCCACCACUUUGGGAGUGGUGAACUGCACAUAUGUAUCAUGGGCUGAGGAUACUGUUAACGGAGCACAAGCGACGUGAAACCUGAAAAGAAGCAGAGGGAGCUCCCUGGGGGGGUGACUGCGUACCUUUUGUAUAAUGGGUCAGCGACUUAUAUUCUGUAGCAAGGUUAACCGAAUAGGGGAGCCGGAGGGAAACCGAGUCUUAACCGGGCGUUAAGUUGCAGGGUAUAGACCCGAAACCCGGUGAUCUAGCCAUGGGCAGGUUGAAGGUUGGGUAACACUAACUGGAGGACCGAACCGACUAAUGUUGAAAAAUUAGCGGAUGACCUGUGGCUGGGGGUGAAAGGCCAAUCAAACCGGGAGAUAGCUGGUUCUCCCCGAAAGCUAUUUAGGUAGCGCCUCGUGAAUUCAUCUCCGGGGGUAGAGCACUGUUUCGGCUAGGGGGCCAUCCCGGCUUACCAACCCGAUGCAAACUGCGAAUACCGGAGAAUGUUAUCACGGGAGACACACGGCGGGUGCUAACGUCCGUCGUGAAGAGGGAAACAACCCAGACCGCCAGCUAAGGUCCCAAAGUCAUGGUUAAGUGGGAAACGAUGUGGGAAGGCCCAGACAGCCAGGAUGUUGGCUUAGAAGCAGCCAUCAUUUAAAGAAAGCGUAAUAGCUCACUGGUCGAGUCGGCCUGCGCGGAAGAUGUAACGGGGCUAAACCAUGCACCGAAGCUGCGGCAGCGAACGUAUCACUUAAAGCGAUUCAGCGGGUUACGAUUGACGGAGCGAAGCGACGUCAAAGCGUAUACAAAGUCGAGUCGGUUUAAGGAUACGUUCGUUGGGUAGGGGAGCGUUCUGUAAGCCUGUGAAGGUGGCCUGUGAGGGUUGCUGGAGGUAUCAGAAGUGCGAAUGCUGACAUAAGUAACGAUAAAGCGGGUGAAAAGCCCGCUCGCCGGAAGACCAAGGGUUCCUGUCCAACGUUAAUCGGGGCAGGGUGAGUCGACCCCUAAGGCGAGGCCGAAAGGCGUAGUCGAUGGGAAACGGGUUAAUAUUCCCGUACUUGGUGUUACUGCGAAGGGGGGACGGAGAAGGCUAUGUUGGCCGGGCGACGGUUGUCCCGGUUUAAGCGUGUAGGUGUGUGUUCCAGGUAAAUCCGGUUCACUUUAACACUGAGGCGUGAUGACGAGGCACUACGGUGCUGAAGCAACAAAUGCCCUGCUUCCAGGAAAAGCCUCUAAGCAUCAGGUAACAUCAAAUCGUACCCCAAACCGACACAGGUGGUCAGGUAGAGAAUACCAAGGCGCUUGAGAGAACUCGGGUGAAGGAACUAGGCAAAAUGGUGCCGUAACUUCGGGAGAAGGCACGCUGACACGUAGGUGAAGUGAUUUACUCAUGGAGCUGAAGUCAGUCGAAGAUACCAGCUGGCUGCAACUGUUUAUUAAAAACACAGCACUGUGCAAACACGAAAGUGGACGUAUACGGUGUGACGCCUGCCCGGUGCCGGAAGGUUAAUUGAUGGGGUCAGCGCAAGCGAAGCUCCUGAUCGAAGCCCCGGUAAACGGCGGCCGUAACUAUAACGGUCCUAAGGUAGCGAAAUUCCUUGUCGGGUAAGUUCCGACCUGCACGAAUGGCGUAAUGAUGGCCAGGCUGUCUCCACCCGAGACUCAGUGAAAUUGAACUCGCUGUGAAGAUGCAGUGUACCCGCGGCAAGACGGAAAGACCCCGUGAACCUUUACUAUAGCUUGACACUGAACAUUGAGCCUUGAUGUGUAGGAUAGGUGGGAGGCUUUGAAGUGUGGACGCCAGUCUGCAUGGAGCCGACCUUGAAAUACCACCCUUUAAUGUUUGAUGUUCUAACGUGGACCCGUGAUCCGGGUUGCGGACAGUGUCUGGUGGGUAGUUUGACUGGGGCGGUCUCCUCCUAAAGAGUAACGGAGGAGCACGAAGGUUGGCUAAUCCUGGUCGGACAUCAGGAGGUUAGUGCAAUGGCAUAAGCCAGCUUGACUGCGAGCGUGACGGCGCGAGCAGGUGCGAAAGCAGGUCAUAGUGAUCCGGUGGUUCUGAAUGGAAGGGCCAUCGCUCAACGGAUAAAAGGUACUCCGGGGAUAACAGGCUGAUACCGCCCAAGAGUUCAUAUCGACGGCGGUGUUUGGCACCUCGAUGUCGGCUCAUCACAUCCUGGGGCUGAAGUAGGUCCCAAGGGUAUGGCUGUUCGCCAUUUAAAGUGGUACGCGAGCUGGGUUUAGAACGUCGUGAGACAGUUCGGUCCCUAUCUGCCGUGGGCGCUGGAGAACUGAGGGGGGCUGCUCCUAGUACGAGAGGACCGGAGUGGACGCAUCACUGGUGUUCGGGUUGUCAUGCCAAUGGCACUGCCCGGUAGCUAAAUGCGGAAGAGAUAAGUGCUGAAAGCAUCUAAGCACGAAACUUGCCCCGAGAUGAGUUCUCCCUGAGACUUAGAGUCUCCUGAAGGAACGUUGAAGACGACGACGUUGAUAGGCCGGGUGUGUAAGCGCAGCGAUGCGUUGAGCUAACCGGUACUAAUGAACCGUGAGGCUUAACCUUACAACGCCGAAG
Molecule: ribosomal RNA, 2805 nt
Filed under: Salmonella enterica subsp. enterica serovar Nottingham
Lineage: Bacteria; Pseudomonadati; Pseudomonadota; Gammaproteobacteria; Enterobacterales; Enterobacteriaceae
Description: bacterial LSU rRNA
Rfam family: Bacterial large subunit ribosomal RNA
Source: RNAcentral